CCACGAAUACUGUAUUCAGAACACAAAUCGCCUUCUUCAGUACAAUCUACUUCAACCAAAGAGAUACCGUCCUUCUCCAACUCAUCAGCAGCUGACUCAUACUCAGGAGCCAAUGCCUUACAAUGACCACACCAAGGAGCAUAGAACUUUACCAUUAAAACCUUGUCUGCAGUGAUUAACUCAUUCAAACCUUCUUUAUUUACUUUGGGAACUUCAGCAGAGGCACAAAAGAAUCCUCCAGAGAAAGCCAAAA
Molecule: non-coding RNA, 253 nt
Organism: Schizosaccharomyces pombe (fission yeast)
Lineage: Eukaryota; Fungi; Ascomycota; Schizosaccharomycetes; Schizosaccharomycetales; Schizosaccharomycetaceae
Source: the annotation of a GenBank genome assembly